Molecule: ribosomal RNA, 439 nt
Filed under: uncultured bacterium
Lineage: Bacteria
Description: partial 16S ribosomal RNA
Rfam family: Bacterial small subunit ribosomal RNA
Source: RNAcentral
CUACGGGCUGCAGCAGUGGGGAAUAUUGGACAAUGGGCGCAAGCCUGAUCCAGCAAUGCCGCGUGAGUGAAGACGGCCUUAGGGUUGUAAAACUCUUUCGCUAGGGAAGAUAAUGACUGUACCUAGUAAAGAAGUCCCGGCUAACUCCGUGCCAGCAGCCGCGGUAAUACGGAGGGGACUAGCGUUGUUCGGAAUUACUGGGCGUAAAGAGUUCGUAGGCGGACUGACAAGUUAGAGGUGAAAUCCCAGGGCCCAACCCUGGAACUGCCUUUAAAACUGUCAGUCUAGAGACCGGAAGAGGUUAGGGGAAUACCUAGUGUAGAGGUGAAAUUCGUAGAUAUUAGGUGGAACACCAGUGGCGAAGGCGCCUAACUGGUCCGGUACUGACGCUGAGGAACGAGAGCGUGGGGAGCAAACAGGAUUAGAUACCCGCGUAGUC